This 468-nucleotide ribosomal RNA is filed under the name uncultured bacterium. RNAcentral's name for it is "partial 16S ribosomal RNA". It matches the Rfam family "Bacterial small subunit ribosomal RNA", at positions 28 to 507 of the family's 1533-position model. The record is from RNAcentral.
GACGAACGCUGGCGGCGUGCUUAACACAUGCAAGUCGAACGGAAAGGCCCUGCUUUUGUGGGGUGCUCGAGUGGCGAACGGGUGAGUAACACGUGAGUAACCUGCCCUUGACUUUGGGAUAACUUCAGGAAACUGGGGCUAAUACCGGAUAGGAGCUCCUGCUGCAUGGUGGGGGUUGGAAAGUUUCGGCGGGUGGGGAUGGACUCGCGGCUUAUCAGCUUGUUGGUGGGGUAGUGGCUUACCAAGGCUUUGACGGGUAGCCGGCCUGAGAGGGUGACCGGCCACAUGGGGACUGAGAGACGGCCCAGACGCGUACGGGAGGCAGCAGUGGGGAAUAUUGCACAAUGGGCGGAAGCCUGAUGCAGCAACGCCGCGUGCGGGAUGACGGCCUUCGGGGUGUAAACCGCUUUCGCCUGUGACGAAGCGUGAGUGACGGUAAUGGGUAAAGAAGCACCGGCUAACUACGUG